UCCCUGGUGGCUCAGAGGUUAAAGUGUCUGCCUCCAAUGCGGGAGACCCGGGUUUGAUCCCUGGGUAGGGAA
RNAcentral lists this transfer RNA (72 nucleotides) under Bos taurus (domestic cattle). It matches the Rfam family "tRNA". From Rfam's summary of the family: Transfer RNA (tRNA) molecules are approximately 80 nucleotides in length. Their secondary structure includes four short double-helical elements and three loops (D, anti-codon, and T loops). Further hydrogen bonds mediate the characteristic L-shaped molecular structure. tRNAs have two regions of fundamental functional importance: the anti-codon, which is responsible for specific mRNA codon recognition, and the 3' end, to which the tRNAs corresponding amino acid is attached (by aminoacyl-tRNA synthetases). tRNAs cope with the degeneracy of the genetic code in two manners: having more than one tRNA (with a specific anti-codon) for a particular amino acid; and 'wobble' base-pairing, i.e. permitting non-standard base-pairing at the 3rd anti-codon position. The record is from Rfam by way of RNAcentral. RNAcentral also lists the same sequence under 5 other names. Lineage: Eukaryota; Metazoa; Chordata; Mammalia; Artiodactyla; Bovidae.